GCGAACGCUGGCGGCAGGCCUAACACAUGCAAGUCGAACGAACUCUUCGGAGUUAGUGGCGGACGGGUGAGUAACACGUGGGAACGUGCCUUUUGGUUCGGAAUAACUCAGGGAAACUUGUGCUAAUACCGAAUGUGCCCUUCGGGGGAAAGAUUUAUCGCCAUUAGAGCGGCCCGCGUCUGAUUAGCUAGUUGGUGAGGUAACGGCUCACCAAGGCGACGAUCAGUAGCUGGUCUGAGAGGAUGACCAGCCACACUGGGACUGAGACACGGCCCAGACUCCUACGGGAGGCAGCAGUGGGUAAUCUUGCGCAAUGGGCGAAAGCCUGACGCAGCCAUGCCGCGUGAAUGAUGAAGGUCUUAGGAUUGUAAAAUUCUUUCACCGGGGACGAUAAUGACGGUACCCGGAGAAGAAGCCCCGGCUAACUUCGUG
This 432-nucleotide ribosomal RNA is filed under the name uncultured bacterium. RNAcentral describes it as "partial 16S ribosomal RNA". It matches the Rfam family "Bacterial small subunit ribosomal RNA", at positions 29 to 507 of the family's 1533-position model. The record is from RNAcentral.